Molecule: ribosomal RNA, 499 nt
Filed under: uncultured Pseudomonadota bacterium
Lineage: Bacteria; Pseudomonadati; Pseudomonadota
Description: bacterial SSU rRNA
Rfam family: Bacterial small subunit ribosomal RNA
Source: RNAcentral
UGGGGAAUAUUGGACAAUGGGCGAAAGCCUGAUCCAGCAAUGCCGCGUGAGUGAUGAAGGCCUUAGGGUUGUAAAGCUCUUUUACCCGGGAUGAUAAUGACAGUACCGGGAGAAUAAGCCCCGGCUAACUCCGUGCCAGCAGCCGCGGUAAUACGGAGGGGGCUAGCGUUGUUCGGAAUUACUGGGCGUAAAGCGCACGUAGGCGGCUUUGUAAGUUAGAGGUGAAAGCCCAGGGCACAACCCUGGAAUUGCCUUUAAGACUGCAUCGCUUGAAUCAUGGAGAGGUGAGUGGAAUUCCGAGUGUAGAGGUGAAAUUCGUAGAUAUUCGGAAGAACACCAGUGGCGAAGGCGACUCACUGGACAUGUAUUGACGCUGAGGUGCGAAAGCGUGGGGAGCAAACAGGGUUAGAUACCCUGGUAGUCCACGCCGUAAACGAUGAUGACUAGCUGUCGGGGCGCUUGGCGUUUCGGUGGCGCAGCUAACGCGUUAAGUCAUCCG